AACAAUGAGAUGUGGCCAUUGUUUGAUGGAUCAUUGAUGGUACGGAUGUGCAAUGAAACAAUGAUAUACCCACUGUAUUGGACCCAAACACCUUCCUGAAAAUUGUUCUGAAGGGUGAGACACUAAACCACCACACAAUUUCAGAACUAUAUCUUUAUAUUAUAUCUCUUAUUUUUCCCUUAUUUGAAUUUUAUAAUCCUUACUUUUCAAUACAUAUCUAAAUAGACUUGAUGUUUUUGACUAAUGGGUUGCAGGGUUAGCACAAGGAAACUAUUGUUAUGACUUGCGAGGUCUACUGGAGGUGACCGGAUCCGGAUGACUUGAGAAAAGCUGUGAAAAUUCACGUAUACCGUUUACCAAACUCAAUUUGUUUGGUCUAGAUGCAUGACUUUCAGAAUAAAUUUAGAUUGUAUGUUUACUCAUUGUUGUGAUCUUUGUAUAUCUGUAACUACACCCUACAACCUGAGCCACUUGACGACCUGCAAUUAGAUGUUACAAAAUAUAGAUGCAAUAUGUUAAUUCUAAGGUGGCAUAAAAUUCCUAAUAAUUCAUACCUGAAAUAAAAUUGUGAUCUAUUCACUAUCUUACUAUCAUAUCCGCAUCGAGCACAACCGAACGCCUCUAUUUCCGGUGAGGCCAACUAUCCAGAAUCCUCCCGCCAUCUUAAAUCCAUUAAUGUUUUUCUGUUAAAGGCUUUGCUCUAUGUAGAUACUGAAAUUAGCAAAGCCAAACUUUUAUUUUGGAAAUAUCACUUUUUUGUGAGAACUGGAAAUAUCACUUUAGAGUACUUUGGUCUGUAAGUGUGUUGCGCUGCUGUAUUUUAAAGACGCGGUUUGUAUUGGAAAAGAUUACAUUAAAGAUGGUGUCGAUCCUGACGACGGGCUGCCUUGCAGGGCAAGGGAUGGGGGUACAAGGCAUGGGUCUGCGG
RNAcentral lists this long non-coding RNA (928 nucleotides) under Triticum aestivum (bread wheat). Its description in RNAcentral is "long non-coding RNA (TAES_LNC014998)". The record is from RNAcentral. Lineage: Eukaryota; Viridiplantae; Streptophyta; Magnoliopsida; Poales; Poaceae.